AGUAAUGAUUGAAAGCCCAAUAAUAAAAUAAAAAAGCCCAUAUAAACGGGCCUAGUUUUCUUAAUCACCGCCUCAGAUACUUCUCCGUCUCCUGAUCUCGUCGGAGCUUCACCUCUCCGUUGAAAAUCGUUGCUUUCCGGUUUCAAACAGAGAAAGAUGUUCAGCCUAAGAUCUACCGGAUGAAGCUAUGGCCAAGUCCAAGUUUUGGUGAGUCAAUGCAAUGAUGAUACUUAUUGGGCCCUACGAAGUUCAAGAACUACGGUAUCUGGCUGCGUUACCAGAGCCGAACUGGGUACCACAACAUGUACAAGGAGUUCCGUGACACCACGCUCAACGGUGCAGUGGAGCAGAUGUGUACACUGAGAUGGCUUCUCGCCAUAGAGUGAGGCUCCCUUGCAUUCAGAUCAUCAAGACCGCCACUGUCCCUGCAAGUCUCUGCAAUAGAGAGAGCACCAAGCAGUUCCAUAACUCCAAGAUCAAGUUCCCUCUUGUUUUGAGGAAGGUCAGGCCACCGACAAGGAAGCUCAAGACUACAUACAAGGCUCCAAAGCCCAACCUUUCAUGUAAAACCAGUCUUUACAUGAUUCUCUACUCAUCCUUGUCAACCAGAGAUCAGAUUAGUGUUCUUGUUCCCCAGUCUCUUUAAAUUUUUGAAGUUUAGCAUUUUUAGAAACUUUCGCUAUCUAGAUAUGAUAUGAAUAUUUAAAGUUUGGCUGCUUCAGGGAAGUGUUUUACUGUAACUUGCACCUAACUCAUAUCGGAUAUUAUUUAUUAUAUGCAUUCUCA
Brassica napus (rape) is the source of this 786-nucleotide long non-coding RNA. RefSeq lists it as uncharacterized. The transcript is spliced from 2 exons. Lineage: Eukaryota; Viridiplantae; Streptophyta; Magnoliopsida; Brassicales; Brassicaceae. The record is from RefSeq and is a predicted model, not a curated record.